CAGUCGCCGCGGGAAUACGAAGGGUGCAAGCGUUACUCGGAAUUACUGGGCGUAAAGCGUGCGUAGGUGGUGGUUUAAGUCCGUUGUGAAAGCCCUGGGCUCAACCUGGGAAUUGCAGUGGAUACUGGGUCACUAGAGUGUGGUAGAGGAUAGUGGAAUUUCCGGUGUAGCAGUGAAAUGCGUAGAGAUCGGGAGGAACAUCAGUGGCGAAGGCGGCCAUCUGGGACAACACUGACGCUGAGGCACGAAAGCGUGGGGAGCAAACAGGAUUAGAUACCCCCGUAGUCCCUGUCUCUUAUAC
Molecule: ribosomal RNA, 301 nt
Filed under: uncultured bacterium
Lineage: Bacteria
Description: partial 16S ribosomal RNA
Rfam family: Bacterial small subunit ribosomal RNA
Source: RNAcentral